This is a non-coding RNA of Mus caroli (Ryukyu mouse), 468 nucleotides long. NCBI's taxonomy places the organism in Eukaryota, Metazoa, Chordata, Mammalia, Rodentia, Muridae. The record is from RefSeq and is a predicted model, not a curated record.
GAAGGUAUCAUGGAACACAGCUGAUGGUUGGCAUUGUGAGAGUCCAAGAGUAGCCACUGGUUAAAGUGAAUCCUCAGUUUUGAUAAGCCCUAGAUUUGGAGUGAAGUUAAAACUUGGUACUAUGAAGCAGGAUUAUAGUCUCUUAAUAAAGAUUAAAAGUGGUGCCUUUUGAAGGUAUAGCUCAGUUACAGGAGAAAAAUUAACAUUUGGGAGAUAUCAGUACCAUGGGACAACAACAAAGAACAGCAGCAGUGGGGAGUGAAAUACCCCUGAGCCUUCAAGCUCUUACUGAUCUCUGGCUCUCCGGUUCAACUCAGCUGUUCCAGCUCAAAGCUCCUCUCCAAGGUGGUGAAGUCACGACUUCUCACCUUUAGUUGGAAUGAUGGAAGAAAGAAGAAAGGAACCAUUCCGAGAGGAUGCAGCUGCCUCUCUGAAGGAAAGAUCUUGGAGGUAAGAAAACUGUGCACA